GAAGUAGCUCAGCUUGGUAGAGCACUUGGUUUGGGACCAAGGGGUCGCAGGUUCGAAUCCUGUCUUCCCGA
RNAcentral lists this transfer RNA (71 nucleotides) under Staphylococcus aureus. RNAcentral's name for it is "tRNA-Pro". It matches the Rfam family "tRNA". From Rfam's summary of the family: Transfer RNA (tRNA) molecules are approximately 80 nucleotides in length. Their secondary structure includes four short double-helical elements and three loops (D, anti-codon, and T loops). The record is from RNAcentral. Lineage: Bacteria; Bacillati; Bacillota; Bacilli; Caryophanales; Staphylococcaceae. RNAcentral also lists the same sequence under 2 other names.